This 391-nucleotide unclassified non-coding RNA is filed under the name soil metagenome. RNAcentral describes it as "partial contains 5.8S ribosomal RNA, internal transcribed spacer 2, and large subunit ribosomal RNA". The stretch from base 1 to 122 matches the Rfam family "5.8S ribosomal RNA", at positions 35 to 154 of the family's 154-position model. The record is from RNAcentral.
GAUGAAGAAUGUAGCGAAAUGCGAUACUUGGUGUGAAUUGCAGAAUCCCGUGAACCAUCGAGUCUUUGAACGCAAGUUGCGCCCGAAGCCAUUAGGCCGAGGGCACGCCUGCCUGGGCGUCACACGUCGUUGCCCCCCCAUCUACUCCUUCGGGAUUGCGGGGGGCGGAUGAUGGCCUCCCGUGCGCCUCGCCGCGCGGUUGGCAUAAAUGCCAAGUCCUCGGCGACGCACGCCACGACAAUCGGUGGUUGCGAAACCUCGGUUGCCCGUCGUGUGCGGUCGUCGCGCAUCGAGGGCUCGAAAAAAUUGCCGGGUUCCGGCUCGGCUUUCAACGCGACCCCAGGUCAGGCGGGGUUACCCGCUGAAUUUAAGCAUAUCAAUAAGCGGAGGA